GUGGGGAAUCUUCCGCAAUGGACGAAAGUCUGACGGAGCAACGCCGCGUGAGUGAUGAAGGUCUUCGGAUUGUAAAGCUCUGUUAAUCGGGACGAAAGAGCCUAGUGUGAAUAAUGCUAGGAAGUGACGGUACCGGAAUAGAAAGCCACGGCUAACUACGUGCCAGCAGCCGCGGUAAUACGUAGGUGGCAAGCGUUGUCCGGAAUUAUUGGGCGUAAAGCGCGCGCAGGCGGAUCUGCCAGUCUGUCUUAAAAGUUCGGGGCUUAACCCCGGGAUGGGAUGGAAACUACAGAUCUAGAGUAUCGGAGAGGAAAGUGGAAUUCCUAGUGUAGCGGUGAAAUGCGUAGAUAUUAGGAAGAACACCAGUGGCGAAGGCGACUUUCUGGACGAAAACUGACGCUGAGGCGCGAAAGCCAGGGGAGCGAACGGGAUUAGAAACCCCAGUAGUCC
RNAcentral lists this ribosomal RNA (450 nucleotides) under uncultured bacterium. RNAcentral describes it as "partial 16S ribosomal RNA". It matches the Rfam family "Bacterial small subunit ribosomal RNA", at positions 354 to 796 of the family's 1533-position model. The record is from RNAcentral.